This 214-nucleotide ribosomal RNA is filed under the name uncultured bacterium. Its description in RNAcentral is "partial 16S ribosomal RNA". It matches the Rfam family "Bacterial small subunit ribosomal RNA", at positions 28 to 250 of the family's 1533-position model. The record is from RNAcentral.
GAUGAACGUUGGCGGCGUGCCUAGCACAUGCAAGUCGAACGCUGGUAGCAAUAUCAGAGUGGCGCACGGGUGAGUAACACGUAGCUUACCUACCUCAAAGCGCGGGAUAACGUUCCGAAAGGAAUGCUAAUACCGCAUAAGCUCGCGGUCUGUAGAGGGCUGAGAGAAAAGGGGCAACUCACUUUGAGAUGGGGCUGCGGCCCAUCAGCUGGUU